UAUCAUAAGGAAUGUGUCCAUUUUCAUUGAGCAUAAUUAUGUUUAGGCUAGUGAACAUUGUUGGUUGAGCAUUUUUUUUUGACAUGCUCUUUGUCUACAUAACAAAAGCAUAACCCAAGUAAAAUGGACAGAUGAAAAGUGCAUAAAAAUUACAAUUGUGCGUCCAUGUGAUGAAUCUGUAGACAAGUGAAAUGUAGCAUGGAGGAUUUGGCCAGAUUCAUCAGCUGCUUCCAUGAAGUACCUUGGUUGUAGUUAUGACAUGGCGCUGGGGUUCUUUGUGAUGGGCAAGUUUCCAUCAUAAGUGCAUUUUAGGACAUCUGGUUUCCUCAUUACACGGGGUCCACCAGGCACCUUGCUGGGUUUGGGACGAAUGUCCUGGUCAAAGAUUGCUGUUGGAAUUGCCAGGGUUGCAACAGCAUUAGGAGAAUCAACUAUUCCAGAAAUCCUUCCUUCACAUGGGCAGCAAGAUAGCGGAAGAUACAUCUGAAAGUCAGCAUUAUUUAUACAUAUAUAUCCUCUUACUAGUAGUGAUGCAUAAGUUUGUGAGAAAUUUGGGAGAAAUAUGUCAAGUUGGGAGGUGUUAACUAUUCCUUGGAGUAACCAAAUUUAGAGAGGUAAUCAAUGGCAUUUAGCACUGCAAGCCUGUAAGCAAUGGUUGGAUCAAGGUAAUGUUGCCUUCCACCCUUGUCAACACUGAUUCCCUCAAAUACCAACCACUCUGAGAAUCGUGGCUCCACUGGCCCUAUGUUGAAGAUUGGGUUCACGUGAAAAGGAGUCGGACCCAUUGGUGUAAGGUACUCCAUUCUACCCCUUAUAAUUUCACACCUGAUGGCACAAUAACAAGUGUCAAAUCUUGGGAAAUUUACUAUUCUGAGAUGAUUUUCAAUAUUCUUUCCAAAAUCUGGGUGCAACAAUAAUAUAUACUUAUAGAAAAUGUUAGGAUAUGGAAAAUGAAUAUCUACUUGAGCUCUAGAAAACCAGUCAUCUCGAUUGCCCCGCAGAAUGAGACUUCACCAUCACCUUGAGAGAAGUGCAUGUCACCAAUUUGCUUCUUCUACAAAUAUUGGAAGCUAUAUUUUUGAACCUCUACUGAGAUUUUUUUAUGUCACAAUUUCCUCCAUUCUCCCUUCCUGCGAUAGUUCUUGCUGCCUCCUUGGCAAUCUUUUCCCACUCAGGAGUGCCCUUCUGGAUCUGCAAACGCUGUUAGAAUUAGCAGAUUUCCUGCAGCUAGAAGUUAGUAUAGUUUCAAUGCUAGUAGCCAACACCUACUACCAGAAUUGUUGUAGGCACAAUUUGCACUUGCAAUGUUGGCAUAAACAAUACUCAGGUAAGUUGGCGCUACUAUCUGCAUCUAUCACUGUUUUUUAGUGACUAAAAUUUUGGAUAUUUAAUCUGCAUUAAGUCGGAGGCUAAAGCAACUUUCUCAAAAUCCUCAUUUAUUUUAAUUUCAUACCUUUCCAAGAUGGCAUCCUUUUGUUGAUGUAAAUUUGCUAGUGGUUUAGACUGCAAAACGUGGCAUAGUUUGAAAGUCUUCAGCGGUUUAGCCCAUUUUCUUCAAUAUCUCCUUCCCUUUCAUUCCAUAUAUGGAGGAGUUCCAUUGAUGGUGUAGUUCCAACUAUUCCAGGGAGAGUCAAAACUGGAAAUUUUACCCCUGAUAUGCAUACGGAAUCAUGUAAUUACUGCAUAUAGUAGACUACUCUUUUGUUCAAUCUUAUGGGCAUGAUUGUAGAUUUGCUUCUAUAAUAUGGAAUAUCUGGUAGGGAAAGGGAAAGGUAAUACAAUUCUUUUACCUGGUAUGUGAGGAGAAUAGGCAUAUAUUCCUUCACAAUACCAAAUAGCUUUGGUUGCACUAGGGAAAUGGUCAGUGAGAUAACAUCCUCCAUUUUCUCUGUCAAAUGUUGCUGUGAAAUCCCAUUCAUCUCCAGGAAGAGGACCCAAGUUGCAAAUUUCAACCUUAAGGAGAUCACCUGGCUUGGCUGGAAUUCCUUCCUUGUCCAUAACUCUGAUCAGUCCGCUCAGAUAAUGAACCUGGAGGAAUCUCCAAGCGUACCAUACUUAACAGUCACCCAAAUGGAUCUUACUUGAUAUUGCAAUUGCUUUGCUUAGUCUCAAUAUGCAAGUUCUUGUGAUCUAGUUAAACAUUCUCUUUCUGCCUAAAGUGACUAAAAGUUUGGCAGGGUUGACUUUAUAUAUUUCAUCUAGAUUUUAGAACUAGUUCAUUGAGCAAUAUUCAUACUUACAGCUGAGAGGUCUACAGUUUUUACAUCUAAAGCAGAAUCAUCAUCUUCAAUACUACCUCCAGUCCGAUCUACCAUCUCUACCCUGGAAAAUUCACCAUCUUUAACCUCUGCAACUGGUGGAAUCUCAGGGUGCCAACGGUUGUGAAGAGGUAGUGUUUGCUCCCAUGGUUUCUUCUUCAAAUCUAUGGGCACUACCAGUCUUGGGGUUGAAGGAGGCAUAAGUGAACUAGCUAGCGGAAAUGCAGAGAGUUUUCUCUUUUUUUUUCUUAAAAUCUCUAGGUAAAUGGAGUGGUAUCCAUUAGUCUAGUGGAAUUAGUAAUGGCAGCUUUUCCUAUGAUUCCCUGAAUUUCCAUUCAGUAGAUGACACGUCAUAUUUCAAGGUCUUAUAAUUAAUGAAGAUGAUUAACCUAUUUCUGUCAAUUUUAAAAAAAAAAAAAAUAAACAUAGCUAAAUAUUCUAAAUUUUUUUCUCCUGGCAUCCAAAAAAUCCAUUGAACUCCCACCCAGCAAAUUUGUAGACAGAAACCAAACCCACCGCCUAUGCUUUGAUACAGCCUAUAAACUAUAGGUUAUGUGCGGCAGAUUAAGCGGAAACGGAAGGCUGGAACACAGAAAGACUGCAAAAAAUAAGGUAUUAUAACUCACAAUAGAAGUAUCAGCAUGCUUGAUGACCUCUGCAGAGUUUUCUUGUAAUUCCACCCCCACUAAAGUCCAUCAUCUCAAUCCUACAAACCUCUCUGGCCCUGAUCUCUGAGACCGGCGGCAUGUCCAGGUGCCACCUGUUGUGAAGGGGGAGUUUCUGCUCCCAUGGCUUCUUCUUCACAUCUAUAGGAAAUACUAGUCUUGCAUCAAAUUGAGCCAUAAAGUUGUAGCCAAAGUCUCAAUCUUGAAGUGCAAAGAAAGUUAGGUAUGUGAACAAGUAUCCUAAGAGUUGCUGAAGUGUUACUGGUUGCAACCUUCAUUUUUCAGUUUGUAGUAAGCAUUCACAGCCAUGAAUGGCACCAUAGAAUUUUUUUUUUCCUUCUCUUGGUUGAUGGACCACUUGAUAAAAGUUGAUUUGAUGUAUUUGAUAGAUAUUCUCGGAUGUUUACAAGAGGAAAACAACAGGAACUGAAGGGGGUGAUAAACUAAUAAUUACAGUAAUACUAAAUUUGUGUGCUUGUAAAUCCUAUAGGCUACACUUUUCUUGAAGAAAAGACAGUGAAAAGCUUAUGCUUAGCUGAUAACAAAAGUUAGCCACUCAUUAGGGAAUAAUACCUGUACUUGUUCUUGGUGGUGAAACUUUUGAUCUUAUCUCCAAAGAUAAAAAAUUUUCCUAGUGCGUCUUGAUUUGAUUCAACAUGGUACUAUUUUUCUUGAUGUAAUCGUCCUGGAAUCCUAUGAUAAAUCUUUUGUACUAAAGAUUCCUCUCUGAUUAAUUAAAACUUAGUGUGUAUUUUCACCAAGCAUCUGGACUGCUGCUAAGAAACACCAUCAUUCUGGGGUGAAGAUAAGCCUUUAAUCUAAUCCAAAUUGCCUUCUUAGAUGACCCCACAAAUCGGAAUAUCAGAGACUUUGCCUAUAUUUCAUGAUGAUUUGAGGUUUUGUUUGUUCUCGUAGAGAAAACUUUACCUUAUCUAGCUUUUUUACUUAAUAUAUGGUCCCCAGCUGCUGCUGUUCAUAACAGGGAUUCUACUGCAAUCUCUCCGUUGCUGCUAAAAUGAUUGGAUCAUUUGGUCCCAUCCUCCAUUCUUAUGAACAUAUCAACUUGAAUGCCUUAUCUUGUCAACUAGCUAUAUAUAUAUUAUUGCAGGCUCUUCAUCAGUAGCUUCACUGAAAUUAUGAAAUGUAUCAAUAUCUCUCUUUCCCUUAAAUAUCUUGUUUCAAGCAUAAUUGCAUUCAUGAAGGGGUGGACCACUGGUGCAUUAGAUUUAAGCACUACAUUAAUGACAAUUUUCUUAUAAGGUAUCUUAUCCUUUUAUAUCAGCUAGCACUGUUUAAUGGAAUUAUCCUCUUGUAAUACACACCUAGUUGUGCACAAGAUUAGUGGUCCAGGC
This 4275-nucleotide unclassified non-coding RNA is filed under the name Hevea brasiliensis (rubber tree). Lineage: Eukaryota; Viridiplantae; Streptophyta; Magnoliopsida; Malpighiales; Euphorbiaceae. The record is from RNAcentral.